Molecule: ribosomal RNA, 497 nt
Filed under: uncultured bacterium
Lineage: Bacteria
Description: partial 16S ribosomal RNA
Rfam family: Bacterial small subunit ribosomal RNA
Source: RNAcentral
GAUGAACGCUGGCGGCGUGCCUAAUACAUGCAAGUCGAGCGAACAGACGAGGAGCUUGCUCCUCUGACGUUAGCGGCGGACGGGUGAGUAACACGUGGAUAACCUACCUAUAAGACUGGGAUAACUUCGGGAAACCGGAGCUAAUACCGGAUAAUAUAUUGAACCGCAUGGUUCAAUAGUGAAAGACGGUUUUGCUGUCACUUAUAGAUGGAUCCGCGCCGCAUUAGCUAGUUGGUAAGGUAACGGCUUACCAAGGCAACGAUGCGUAGCCGACCUGAGAGGGUGAUCGGACACACUGGAACUUAGACACGGUCCAGACUCCUACGGGAGGCAGCAGUAGGGAAUCUUCCGCAAUGGGCGAAAGCCUGACGGAGCAACGCCGCGUGAGUGAUGAAGGUCUUCGGAUCGUAAAACUCUGUUAUUAGGGAAGAACAAAUGUGUAAGUAACUAUGCACGUCUUGACGGUACCUAAUCAGAAAGCCACGGCUAACUACGUG